CUGAGUGAAAGUUUUUUAGAGCUGAAGUAAUUUUAGUAACAAUCACAACAUAAGCAGCAGCAAGCAUAACAAAUGAACAAAAACUUUUUAAAAUGUUCUGACGAGAGCUUACAAUAAAAAAUUCAAAAACUAAAAGCAGCAAAGAAGGCUACCAUACGGAACUAAAAUGAGGAAACUAUAAUUUACUCUAUAAAAAACAGCAAAGAGCUACGCAGAACCUCAAAGUGCACUCCUUUCAACAGCUAAAUUCGAGACUGAUUUAAAGUGUAUAUAUAUAUAUUUGAUAUAUAUAUAUAUAUGUGGUCCGUUGCCAAUCAAAUUUGUGCUACUUGCCUGCAUCAAGUGUUUUGUUUACUCAAGCAACCAAGUGUCGUUUAGCCGGCGUACCUGAGGCAGCUCGUAGCUGCUAGUAAAUUCCAUGAAACUUUAAGAGAGCUGGCCCCGAAGCACUACAACCGCCUUUGACAGGAUUAAAAUGUGCUGGCGAGCCAGACGAGUGUGCAGCAGGAGUGGGCGAGGCAACGAGUGGCCAGGCAAACACUGCAACGAAGUGAAUGCAAAUAGCUGCGCUCGACUGGCUUGUUGGGCGUAUGAGUAUUGCUUUUAUAACAGGAACGUGGUGCAACGCCUACUUCUCCUGCCUUGCAAAUAGAAAUGCAGUCAGCAGUGGACAAGCUUUUGGCUUCGCUUUAUGCAACGGUCCGUCCAGCGUGCCCCUUGGUUAAAGUUCAGAUCAGCAAACAGUAUUUAUGGCAUUAACUAACCCGCACUCAUAGCUUCGAGCUCACUCUAUAUUUCUGCCAUGUACCAAAAUCUACUAAACUCAAAUUUAAAUAUGCGCCCUUAACAUUCAAAUAUAAGCAACUAGAAUAUUAUA
Molecule: long non-coding RNA, 877 nt
Organism: Drosophila montana
Lineage: Eukaryota; Metazoa; Arthropoda; Insecta; Diptera; Drosophilidae
Exons: 3
Source: RefSeq, a predicted model, not a curated record